UGAAUCCUUGGCCACCCACUUCUGUACUUUAAACGCCUCAUGGCAGGAAGUCCUCUCUUCCUCUGUCUUGCAGGGCAAUUGGGCACCUGUUGUGAGGGUAACUUGUCACCUGAGCAGUGGCUCUGCACCUCCUGGCCAACAGCUGAUCCAGUCCCUUGGUGUUGCUGAGGCAACAGGUUCGGGCAGUUCUGCUGGCCCAUCAGUGAGGACCCCCCCUUUUUUUUUAGUUUUGCGUCCUGCUAGGAAUGUGUCAGCCAGGUGGAACUCUGGAAGAGGGUGGGGGGCAUUCAUAGUUUGAACAAGAAACAGUACCAUUCUAUUGUCAGUGCCCCGACCCCUGAUCUACAGUGAUAAGGUGAACCCAAAUAGUACUGAUACAUUCCUAGUACUACAGAAUUGUCAGCACAUGCUGUUGAGGAAGAUGGCUGCCUUUGGCAGGAUGGAUUGGUCUGCUCAUUGGGAAAGGUAAAGAGCAGGUGAGAAUGUAAGAAACAGGUUAACAUUCUGUUGCCACGGGAAUGCCCCUUGAGAGAAAAGUUAUUCUUCUUUGUUAGAGAUUUAGCUGGAUGUGCACAGAACUGGCUUCUUGAAACAGCUUUCUGGUUGACUCAUUUGCUGGAAGUAAACCCCCCCUCCAAGUUUGAAGGUUGACCCUAAAACUAUCUUAAAAAUGUGGGUUGAAUUGUAGGUGAGAGAGAAAAGUGCAACAGGGCAGUCAUAGGAUCAGAAGUUUCAGUGUUGGGUGUGAUAGCAUUUUGUAUCACAAUGUUCUCUAGUAACACAUAAAUCAACCUGGACUAUUUAAUGAGCAGUUGCUGAAAUCAAGAUGUAGGCAGUAGCUACUAGUAGAAAGGAAGAACAAUACCAAAAUUUUCUUUUUAAUGCAGGUUGUAGUUUAAUACUUUGCCUUAGAAGCAUGAUUCAUACCUGUCCUUUUUGUGAAACUAUCUUCUGCUGUAAGAUUCCCUCAGAAGGUUUGCCUGCAGCAUGACUUGAAAAGGCAAUACAAGCUAAACAGGGCAGAUGUUUUUUUCUCUAGUGAGAUGCAGAAGAAGUCCCUGGUAGGAAUCUACCUUGAGCUUAUUGGGAAGAGUGGUUAAUAAGAAACUGUUCUAAACUUACAGUAUUCAAGAACGAUAUGCAUUAAUUUUAUAUAUUCUCAUACAUAGAAAUUCUUUGCUGCUAACGAUAGGAAGAUGGCAUGAUAAGCCUUAUUGUACAAAAUGAUCCCCAAAAUAAUGUUGGUCUUUACACACAUUAGAAUAUAAUAUUGGGAAAUGGUGUACUCUUUUCUUCUUUACCAGCAAUAUUUUGUCUUAGAUUAGGCUUCUCCAACGCGGUGCCCUCCAGAUGUUUGGACUACAACUCCCACCAGGUCCAGCAAUUAUCACAAAUUGAGAGGGGUGAUGGAAGUAGUCCAAAACAUCUGGACAGAAAGAGGUUGAGGAAGGCUGUUUGAGACUCCUGAGCAGCUGCCCAUUACAACAAUUUUUUUUAACAGCUUGAGAUAUGUGUAAGAAAACAAACAUUCUCUUGUUGACUACGAUCAGCAGUCCUGUUUGGAACAAAGGUUAAGUACGCCACAACCUUUGGCUGUUUUCUUUUUCAGUCCUUAAUUAUUUGCUCUGUGUUUUUGAACAAGCAGCCAGAAGGUGGUGCUACAUGCCCAUUUUUAUUAUGGAGCAGAAAUACUUUAGGUAGGAGACCUCUGCUCAUCUUUUAAGCUUUUAUAUCUUGUUAAAUGAGAACCAAGAUCUACCAGUCUUCUGCAGCUAAACCUGUCUUGUUCUGUAUCUAGGUUUAGGGCUAAUAGGCCCCCGCACUAAACACAACAACCAAUUAUUUAAACACAAACAGAAGAUUGUUGUAUAUAUGAAAGCUCAAUGCAAGAAACCACUUACCGGUAUGUACUGUAUACCUGAAAGUUCAAUACAAGAAACAAUCCGUUUUACUACAGGGUGACUCUUACAGAAGCAUAAGAAAGUCUCAGUUUUUUUCUUCUGUACAGCAGUUGAGAUUUGAUCCACAUAUGGAUACCAAAGAACCCAAAAAGCUGUUUUGUUCUGUGGAGAAAACAUCAGAUUUAGGUCAGGGAGAUGGGUGGAUUCAGCAUGAAUGAGCCUUUUGUCCUUGCAUGCAGCCCAUUCCCUUUCCCCUGUGCUGUGAUUAAAACUAAGAAAUCUUAAACUGACCACAAUCUCCUAAGAAUCCAAGCCGGGAAACUUAUGGUACCUAGGUUUGGAGCAAGCCACAGUUUGAAGUUGGUUAAAGAUGAAGGCUAAUUCAAGAACUGGUAACCAUAGUUUCUUGGUUCAUCCUUUUUCAAAUAAGUUCAGUAUGUCUCAGAACACUUUCCAAACUCCUAGUAGAGACUGAAGCUGCUGCUUACAAGACUCCUUUUGUGUCUGUAUUUGAUUUAGUGUUUUUUUAAAAGAAACAAGUUAAAAAAUUCACUAAGCAAGUUGCAUGCAACCUGGAUUCCAUCUGAUGUCACAUUGCUCUAUAAGACAGGUCUUAGACUUUCCUGGUUCAUUCUUUCUCUAUUGCCUAGAAGGUCAGCAUAGAACCUGCUGUUUCUUGACUAACUGAAAAAUACAUGGCGCAUCAUGGGAAUAACAUCACAUCAUUUGAUAUUUCCUUCCUCCACAUGUGUUAGACAGCAAACUGGGUUCUAAUUUUAGCCAGCUGCUAUGCUCGGUUAUCCUCUUGUCAUUUCUGUGACAGCCUCUGGCUAAAACUGAAAUCACUUCUUUAAAGGAGGAGCAAAAAAGAGUAUCAGAUCUGUCAGAACACGGAUUCUUUGCCAGCUUUCUGCCCUAAGAGUUCAUAAAGCAUAUAUUGUUAGGAUUAAGGUGUUUAAGGGACUCACUACAGCUCAGUUUGAGGCAAUUUUCUCCAUGGGUUCCAGUAGAGCUUGCUUCCAUGUAAGUGAGGUGAAGACUUGUUGCUCAAGAAAGGUCUCAUUACCCUACCCAGUGGUUUUAAGAGGUUCCCUAUAACUCAAGCUUUUGCAUAUGUUGUAAACCACCUGACCUGGGCAGGGAGAGGAGAGAUUACGUGGCAGAGCAGUGACCAAACCCUGUGCCCUCCUGUUUCACUAUGACUAGGAUAAAAGCCCACACCACCUACAUUUUUCACUGUAAAUUUAUUAUACCAGCUCCAGGGCUGGCACGAAGUUAGGCUGAUUCUCUAAGUAAGUUUCAUUUAUCUAUCUUUAACAAAAUGUAUAUACCACUUGAUUAUAAUAGAACCUCUAAGUGAUUGGGGUAAUGAAGGCGCUUUUAUCCAGAGCAUCCCUAUUUACGCACACCUUAGACACCUGGUUCCCCAUCUCUUCUGGUAGAACAUCUACACCAGCAGAGCUUUCUGCCAUCUUAGCAGGGGCGCUCCAACAGUGCUCCAUCUCUGCUGGUGAAGUGGUUCCAGAGGUUUUCUAGACCCUGCCAGGUGAACAUGGGGUUAGUUGAUUUAAUUUGAUUCAGUGAUUUAAUUAGUUAUGCCUAUUUUAAUAAUCAAAAGUGACAUCUAAUCAGCUGACAUAUUCGUUCCUAUAAAAAUGGCAGGUGCUGACCACCAUUUUGAGAGACGGCCACCUUUCUUCAGUAUAGAAGAAAUGUCUCUUGGGAGGUGAGGCGUACUCUUGACGUGUGUAUCAUAUGAAGCAAGGAAUACACUUUGUUUUUAGAGCUAUUGCUUUUGCUCAUAUUCAGAUGCAUUUGACUAAAGCUUCUGUGGCUGUGUACAGCAGCUUGCCCCAAGCUGGUGCCCCUCCAAAAAUUUUAGACUGCAAUUUCCAUCAGCUGAGGGCUGAUGCGAGCAGUACAGUAAUCCAAAACCUCUGGAAGGGCACUAGUUUGAGGGAAGACUGGUUUAGAGAAAUCUUAACUCAGUGUGGGCCCUAUCCAUAACUCAGUAUUUCUUAUCUCUACACCCCUCUUCUGCUUCUGUCACUUUAAAUCAGUUUUACAACUGCAAUAAUAUGUAGGUCUGUCUAAUCUGUAUAAUGCAUUCAAAUAAUGAAAUCUGGAGAGUUUUAUAUCUUUUUUAUUUUUAGGAGCUCAGACAUAUAUCAGAGCCCAAUAUUCUGUAGGGCCCCUAGGCAUAAUGUCCAUUUUUAAGCAUUUCCUCAGAUGAUGUUCCUGCUGUGCUCAAAACACUGAAGAUAAAUUACUAUAUAUUUCAAAAGCAAGCCUGGGAAAUAUCAGAAAUUUGCCCAAUAGGGGUGUUCUUUUUUGUACACUGAUGAAAAUAUAGUGUUUGAAGCAAACAUUUCUGAAACUCUGCAGUGCUUGUGUUUUGCCAAAGGAUAUAUAUGUCACAUGCCUACCCGAUCUGCAUUUUAGUCAAAUGAGUACCAUGCUUAUGCAUUCAGUCUAAGGCAAUUAAGAUAAAUUUUGUUCCACAGAUGAUUGCAUGUAAACGUCUUCAGAAUGUGCAGUUUUCAUAUAGAGUGGUGGAAACAAAAAUCAUAACUAUACACCUAAUGCAUUUUGGCCACUUCCGAGUAAAAUUGCAGCCAAGAUCAGUAAUCACCAGCUGCUUCACAAAAGCAGCUUCCUUUGAAAUUUGCACCGUUCUGCACCUUGCGAUGCUGUUUUCCAACAAAAAAAGGACAUAAGAAUCCAUAUGUUGGGGGAAGUAUGUGUACAAAUUGGUACAGAUUAGUGAAAAUAAGAUGCAUUGUUGGGGAAGGCCUCAUGGAAAAAUGUAUACAGUAGGAGAAAUGUUCCCGAGACGGCUGAAUAUAUUUUUGUGAAGGCUUGUUUUAAAAAAAGUGUUCAUAAACUGAUGCAGAAAUGUGGCAAACAGAACACAAGACUGGAAAGGGAGAGAAGAAGCCAAACCCGACAGAUUGAUCCAUCCCUAAGAGAGAGUGUUCCUCUGCCUAACAGUAGGCUGCAAUCCUGUGCACAUUUGCAUAGGAGUAAGACUCUUUUUAUAUGCCUGUUGUCUUUGUCCAUGGAGUUUUCUUGGCAGGGAUACUGGAGUGGCUUGCCGGUUUCUCCUCCAGGUGGAUCACGUUUGGUCAAAACUCUCCACUAUGACCUGUUCAUCUUGGGUGCCCUGCUUGGCAUAGUUCAUAGCUUCUCUGAGUUACUCAAGCCCCUUCACCAUGGCAAGGCAGUGAUCCAUGAAGGUUUUUUUGUUGGUUUUUUUUGGUGCUGGAGGAGACUCUUGAGAGUCCCAUGGACUGCAAGAAGAUCAAACCUAUCCAUUCUUAAGGAAAUCAGCCCUGACUGCUCACUGGAAGGACAGAUCGUGAAGCUGAGGCUCCAAUACUUUGGCCACCUCAUGAGAAGAGAAGACUCCCUGGAAAAGACCCUGAUGUUGAGAAAGAUGGAGGGCACAAGGAGAAGGGGAUGACAGAGGAUGAGAUGGUUGGAUAGUGUUCUCGAAGCUACUAGCAUGAGUUUGACCAAACUGCGGGAGGCAGUGGAAGACAGAAGUGCGUGGCAUGCUCUGGUCCAUGGGGUCACAAAGAGUCGGACACGACUAAACGACUAAACAACAACAAGACACUUUUUUCCUGAGCAGACAUACAUAGGACUGUGCUUUAAAGGGUAAUUUUUGAUUUGCUUAUAGAUACAGUCUUCCUGCCCCCCCAACAAAAAUUGUACUUGAGUUCUGCCACUCCUUUCAUUAUGACCAAGUUUCCACAACAGAACCCCUAAGAGGUAUCAACAACAAAACAGAGAAACAGCAUGAUGAAUGCUGUUGGCCCACUCCUUGCCUGUCUAGCUGUUACCAAGCAUCGUGAAAGGAUCAACAUGUUUUGGAAAGAGGGCCGGCCUCUAUUCCCAGUGAGUUCUAGGACAUGGCUGACCUGGCAGCAGCAUUCACAUUGUUGUGGUUUUCCUGCCAUGACCAAAGUGUUACUAUAGAUAACUACCUAUCUGCACAGCAGAAACAGAUGUUUUCUCACCGAGAUCAGUAGCAAAAUGUUCUUCCUACAUUGACCGGAUCAGUAACAUCUGGCAAACAUGCAUAGAUCUGAAGAACUGCGAUAUGAAUAAAUGCACUUCUCAACCCCUUACUCUCAUGUCAACAAAGGACAGCUCCUUCCCCUAUGGCCUAACAAGGUUAAAAUGACUUUCCCCUCUUCGUGCAAGAGUGUCUGCAUUUGCAUGCAGUAGAAGCUGGGAGUAAAAUAAAGACUUAUGCUCCCUGCACUCUCAAGUUAACCUUCAUGAGCACAGAAAUGAAAACAAGAUUAAUGUCGCCCCAGCUAAGCAUUCCAGUGAAGCUAGUCAAUUUUUCAGCGAUUAUAUUUGCAUCGCUGAGAUCACCAGAUUUAUGAAGAUAGCAUCCAUGCUGAGGAUGUUUUCCUUUUAAUGGACAUAGCUAACACAAAAAAUACAUUAAAAGCAUAAUUUUGUAUGACUGUAUGUAGAUUAACUGAAAAAGGUUAUUAGGCAGACUGUCUGCAGAAUUGACUUUUCCAAGAAUAUCCUCUUUACAAUUUAUAGCCAUGAGUAAUGUGGAAUCAUAGACAUUUUGAACCUCACACAUUACAAAUACAAUUUUCUGAAAGGACUUUUUUUUUUGCACAUGCAAAUUGUGCUUUAUGACCACUUGUUUUGUUGGGGAAUCUUUCUUGUAUCCCACAGCUUGUUUUCGUGUGUGUUUAAGUGUGAGAGGGAGGGAGGGAAUUCUACUUACAUGCUUUGGAAAAAGCUCAAUUCCAUGAAUGACAAAAAAGAGGAAACUGCAAUUGUGAUCCCUGCCCCCUUCUCAAGAUUGAGAUCAGGUUCCUGAUAUAGGGGUAGGGGCUUUAACACUUUGUUCCCAGCUCCAGCCCAGAUCACACCCACAGAAGCUUGUGAUUUGCAUUAAAUUUUUUACUCCCACUGUAUGCAAGCAGCCUCAGAAUUUCCUUGACUAGGACCACAAUUGCUCAGUGCUUACAAAUGUAGGUGAGAUCAGCUAUGCAGUUGAGGGGUGUAACUUGUGAUUCCAUCUCCAGUUCUUUUCAUCCUUUGGCCAGAAAAUUAGCAGCUUGAAAUGUUUCCCUGCCAUUUCCAUUUUUCUUAGUCACUUCUCUGGGCUGCCACUUGUUGAUAUGGUUGCUGCCAGAAUUGCAUAUAAAAUUGCCUCGCCUUUCUUCUUCUUGCAGUGUGGUCAUGGGACAGCCUGAUGUGUGAAGCUGCUGCCCUGAGAGAAGAAUGCCCUGGAGGAAAAGAUAAGCUGUGGAGGAUUUUACAAACUCAAAGGAUGCUAUUCAUUUGGAAAGAGCAAUUGUUCAAAAACGGCAGCUGGCCUAAACUGACUGGCAGCAAGGCUACCCAUUCUCCAAAGGACCCAUAGCCUGCACCUCUCUUUCUGGCCCCACUUGUUAUCAUACUGCGCCUUGGCUGCAGCAAACAUGGUUUGAAUACAAGCAAUGUCACACUUAUUACGUUUUCUUCCCAACAAUGGAAAGAAGUGGCUGAUGUCCUGGGGUGGUGCAAGGUUUGGUGCACCCCAGAUUGAGGCUGAAUUCAGUAGGGCCUUUUCCCAGGAAAGUGUGCAUACAUUCUAGGGUUGCCAUAUUUCAAAACGUAAAAACCAGGACGCUCCGAAAGUUGUUGAACUUUUUUUUUAGGAAACUAAUGAAAUUGUUGAAAAUGAAAAAACA
Long non-coding RNA from Podarcis raffonei (Aeolian wall lizard), 7615 nucleotides. RefSeq lists it as uncharacterized. The transcript has 2 exons. The record is from RefSeq and is a predicted model, not a curated record. Lineage: Eukaryota; Metazoa; Chordata; Lepidosauria; Squamata; Lacertidae.